AUAACAGCAUUAUAUCUUUAGGAAGAUCAUAUUUAUAAAGAUGUUUGUGACCUCGAUGUUGAAUUAAGAUAAAUUUUAAAUGCAGAAGUUUAAAAAUUAAGUCUGUUCGACUUAUAAAAUCUUACAUGAUUUGAGUUCAGAUCGGUGUAAGCCAGAUCGGUUUCUAUCUUUAAUUAAUUAAGAUAUUUUUGUACGAAAGGACUAAUUA
RNAcentral lists this ribosomal RNA (208 nucleotides) under Lasioglossum pauxillum. RNAcentral describes it as "16S ribosomal RNA". The stretch from base 1 to 168 matches the Rfam family "Bacterial large subunit ribosomal RNA", at positions 2474 to 2642 of the family's 2925-position model. The record is from RNAcentral. Lineage: Eukaryota; Metazoa; Arthropoda; Insecta; Hymenoptera; Halictidae.